This 548-nucleotide ribosomal RNA is filed under the name uncultured Glomeromycotina. RNAcentral describes it as "SSU rRNA". It matches the Rfam family "Eukaryotic small subunit ribosomal RNA", at positions 548 to 1098 of the family's 1831-position model. The record is from RNAcentral. Lineage: Eukaryota; Fungi; Glomeromycota.
UUGGAGGGCAAGUCUGGUGCCAGCAGCCGCGGUAAUUCCAGCUCCAAUAGCGUAUAUUAAGGUUGUUGCAGUUAAUAAGCUCGUAGUUGAAUUUCGGGAUCAAUUUAUUGGUCGUGCUAUUGUACGUACUGGUAUUAUUGAUUCCUACCUUCUGACGAACCACGAUGUCAUUAAUUUGGUGUCAUGGGGAAUCAGGACUGUUACUUUGAAAAAAUUAGAGUGUCUAAAGCAGGCUCACGCUUGAAUACAUUAGCAUGGAAUAACGAAAUAGGACGUUUGAUUCUAUUUUGUUGGUUUCUAGGAUCGACGUAAUGAUUAAUAGGGAUAGUUGGGGGCAUUAGUAUUCAAUUGUCAGAGGUGAAAUUCUUGGAUUUAUUGAAGACUAACUACUGCGAUAGCAUUUGCCAAGGAUGUUUUCAUUAAUCAAGAACGAAAGUUAGGGGAUCGAAGACGAUCAGAUACCGUCGUAGUCUUAACCAUAAACAAUGCCGACUAGGGAUCGGAUGAUGUUAAUUUUUUAAUGACUCAUUCGGCGCCUUACGGGAAAC